AGUGAACGCUGGCGGUAGGCCUAACACAUGCAAGUCGAACGGCAGCACAGUAAGAGCUUGCUCUUACGGGUGGCGAGUGGCGGACGGGUGAGGAAUACAUCGGAAUCUACUUUUUCGUGGGGGAUAACGUAGGGAAACUUACGCUAAUACCGCAUACGACCUACGGGUGAAAGCAGGGGAUCUUCGCACCUUGCGCGAUUGAAUGAGCCGAUGUCGGAUUAGCUAGUUGGCGGGGUAAAGGCCCACCAAGGCGACGAUCCGUAGCUGGUCUGAGAGGAUGAUCGGCCACACUGGAACUGAGACACGGUCCAGACUCCUACGGGAGGCAGCAGUAGGGAAUAUUGGACAAUGGGCGAAAGCCUGAUCCAGCAAUACCGCGUGGGUGAAGAAGGCCUUCGGGUUGUAAAGCCCUUUUGUUAGGAAAGAAAAGCAGCAGGUUAAUACCCCGCUGUUCUGACGGUACCCAAAGAAUAAGCACCGGCUAACUUCGUG
RNAcentral lists this ribosomal RNA (492 nucleotides) under uncultured bacterium. RNAcentral's name for it is "partial 16S ribosomal RNA". It matches the Rfam family "Bacterial small subunit ribosomal RNA", at positions 29 to 507 of the family's 1533-position model. The record is from RNAcentral.